CUCUUCUUGUAUGUUUACUAUUAUAUCUAUUUGACUUAGAUUUAAUGAGUUAAUAUUUAUCAGGAAAACACACACUGAUAGAUGGGAUGGCACAAAGGUAUAGAUAGAUAUUGCUGGAGUUUAUGAUAUCAUAAUCCUCCCAGGCUAGAAUGCUGUUGCCUGUAAAGCACAGAGAAUAUUGCUGGACCUACUUAGCUAUCUUGACUGAUAAUAACCUUAAAUAAUAGGCAUAUUCCAAUUUUCCUUAGAGACUUAUCAACCUAUUUUUGUUUAAGACAUUUGUGUCUUUUUUGCUGAGGGCUGAGGUUGGGAAGUAGUAUAUACAGCUAAAAAAAGGACUGAUUAUCACAGUAACUCCUGGAUUGUCAUUGGGAAGGAGAAGAAAAGAAAGAGAAGAGGACUCUUCUUCAGUUGAAACAAAUUUUUAGGCCAGCAGCCAGACCCUUUUGCCAGUUACACCUCCACUACAUCAAGACAAAACUUCAAGACCCUACUCAAGUCCUUUAACUCCUCCCAGGAUGGGGAAGAUGUUUCUAGAAAAAUCGUAACAUCAGGUCAAAGGCAAGCUACAUCCAUCCCAAAGCAUGACAUGCCCAAUUAUUGAAACUGACAAUGGAAGAAUAUGAAGGUGAAGUAGACCUGGAGAUUGGUGAUAUUACUAUGUUUUAUUUUUUGAUGCACCAAAUAAAUGAGAUUUCC
Molecule: long non-coding RNA, 699 nt
Organism: Pan paniscus (pygmy chimpanzee)
Lineage: Eukaryota; Metazoa; Chordata; Mammalia; Primates; Hominidae
Source: Ensembl